Molecule: long non-coding RNA, 2816 nt
Organism: Oncorhynchus nerka (sockeye salmon)
Lineage: Eukaryota; Metazoa; Chordata; Actinopteri; Salmoniformes; Salmonidae
Exons: 2
Source: RefSeq, a predicted model, not a curated record
UUCAACUGGAAGCCAGUGGAGAGAGCGGAGGAGCGGGGUGACGUGAGAGAACUUGGGAAGGUUGAACACCAGACGGGCAGCGGCGUUCUGGAUGAGUUGUAGGGGUUUAAUGGCACAGGCAGGGAGCCCAGCCAACAGCGAGUUGCAGUAAUCCAGACGGGAGAUGACAAGUGCCUGGAUUAGGACCUGCGCUGCUUCCUGUGUGAGGCAGGGUCGUACUCUGCGGAUGUUGUAGAGCAUGAACCUACAAGAACGGGCCACCGCCUUGAUGUUAGUUGAGAACGACAGGGUGUUGUCCAGGAUCACGCCAAGGUUCUUAGCGCUCUGGGUUGAGGUCGGGUGACUGUGGAGGCCAGGUCAUCUGAUGCAGCACUCCAUCACUCUCCUUCUUGGUCAAAUAGCCCUUACACAGGCUGGAGGUUUGUUGGGUCAUUUUUCUCUUGAAAACAAAUGAUCGUCCCACUAAGCGGGAUGGGGUAUUGCUGCAGAAAGCUGUGGUAGCCAUGCUGGUUAAGUGUGCCUUGAAUUCUAAAUAAAUCAUCGACAGUGUCACCAGCAAAGCAACCCCUCACCAGCACACCUCCUCCUCAAUGCUUCACGGUGGGAACCACACAUGCAGAGAUCAUCCGUUCACCUACUUUGCGUCUCACAAAUACACGGCGGUUGGAGCAGAAAUCUCAAAUUUGAACUUAUCAGAACUUAUGGUCAGUCGAUUUCCACCGGUCUAAUGUCCAUUGCUUGUGUUUCUUGGCCCAAGCAAGUCUCUUUUUAUUGGUGUCCUUUAGAUGUGGUUUCUUUGCAGCAAAUCGACCAUGAAGGCCUGUUUCAAGCAGUCUCCUCUGAACAGUUGAUGUUAAGAUGUGUCUGUUAUUUGAACCCUUUGAAGCAUUUACUUGGGCUGCAAGUUCUGAGGCUGGUAACUCUAAUAAACAUAUCCUCUGCAGCAGAGGUAACCCUGGGUCUUCCUUUCCUGUGGAGGCCUUCAUGAGAGCCAGUUCAUCAUAUCGCUUGACGGUUUUUACGACUGCACUUGAAGAAACUUUCAAAGUUCUUGAAAUGUUCCUGAAUUGACUGACCUGUAUGUCUUAAAGUAAUGAUGGACUGUCGUUUCUCUUUGCUUAUUUGAGCUGUACUUGCCAUAAUAUGGACUAUCUUCUGUAUAUCACCCCUACCUUGUCACAACACAACUGAUUGGCUCAAAGAAAUUCCCCAAAUGAACUUUUAACAAGUCAAACCUGUUAAUUUAAAUGCAUUCCAGGUGACUACGUCAUGAAGCUGGUUGAGAGAAUGCCAAGUGUGUGCAAAGCUGUCAUCAAGACAAAGGUUGGCUACUUUUUAACACUUUUUUGGGUACUACAGGACUGUGUUAUUUUGUAGUUUUGAUGUCUUCACUAUUAUUCUACAAUGUAAACAAUAAUAAAAAAUAAAGAAAAACCCUUGAAUGAGUAAGUGUGUCCAAACUUUUGACUGGUGCUGUAUAUACUACAGAUAUGAUUUUUUUUAAACAGGAUGUUUUAUUUUGUGGCAUACAUAACAAAUGUGUAAUUAUGAACAACAUGUAAAUUAUACAUGUAUGACAUAAAAAAUGUAAUACAUUAUUAUUAACCAGAUAUUACUAUGUUAAAAACAAAGAUAAUAUAUUGUACCUAUUAUUAAAAUAGCAUAUGUCUGUAUGUAUUAAUGCAUUUAAAGUGUGUGUGUUUCAAAAGAACUGACAUCUUCGGCUGUCAUUAUGUGCGGUACGGCAUUGUUUUCUGAUCAGGAAACAUUUACUUUGUCAUGUUUUACUGCUGCAAAACCUUCUGGGGCGAAACAUUUAGGUAACACUUUAUUUGGACAGUCCCAAGUAGAUGGGUUGUAGAUGGUCAGUCGAUGUUCAAAAACUAACAAAAACAUUUCAACUAACUAUCCACUAACCUUAACCCUUAUCCUAACACUAAACCUUAGCCUAGCCCUAACCUUAACCCUAACCCUUAUUCUAAACCUAAUCAUAAACGUAACCUUAGCAGACAUUUGCUUAUCAACAGCUACUUAGUUGAUACUAUCACCAUCUGUAGUUCAUCUAUAUGGGACUAUACAAAUAAAGUGUGGCCAACAAUUAUAAAGAAAAACUGGGAUAAUGGGACAAAACUACCAAUUAUAUAGACAUUGUGUAAGAAUUAUUUGGUCUUUGUGUGCUACUACAGAGUUGAAAAAAAAAAUAGUUGUAAUGCUUUUGAUGUGAUGAUUUUUGAUUAAAUUAAUCAGUUAGGUAAUUAAGGAUACAUAAUUAUUACCUGUUUGUUGCUUGUUUGUGAAAGAUCUGAUGUAGAUGUGGCGGACUUUAUCGGGAGAUGGUCAAUAAAGGAAAAGCUGUGCAUCCAAAAAAGAACCUGGCGAAGGCAGAGGACAAGCGGGAGCCAAAGGAGUGCUUCUUGUGUUUCUCUGUAGCAGCUGAAACUACAGUACAGAUCAACAAGAGAUCAGUGCUCUGACAGGCCUGUAAUAGCUGCUGUCACCUGUAUUUAAAUGGUACACAGCUUAACACAUUUCACCACAAUGGAUUUAACUGAUUUCCACACAAAAUUCAAAGGUAACCUGUGAAGUAAGCAUUUGUGAUGUUAGGAAAAAUUACCAGGCAGGGGUGCCACUGAAUUAUUGAAGUUCUUUCCUUUACGAGGAUUGGAAUAUUUCUUCUGGCUUUUGUUCUGAAAGCUUGCUGUCUUUGAUAGAGUUGCAGGCACCUUACGCUGCUGUUAACCGCAGACAUCCACUUGUUUGCGAUAAUGUAUUUCUCUAAUCAAUUAAUUGAAAUAAAGAUACUUAAUUUUAAUGUA